GCCACGGUGGUCUAGCGGUUAGAACGCUGGCCUUGUAAUCCUGGGGUCUCGGGUUCGAUUCCCGGCGGUGCCU
Non-coding RNA from Zootermopsis nevadensis, 73 nucleotides. NCBI's taxonomy places the organism in Eukaryota, Metazoa, Arthropoda, Insecta, Blattodea, Termopsidae. The record is from Rfam.